CACGGGGGGAGCAAGCGUUGUUCGGAAUCACUGGGCGUAAAGGGCGUGUAGGCGGUCAGGUAAGUGGGAUGUGAAAUCCCUCGGCUCACCCGAGGACCGGCAUCCCAAACUGCCUGGCUUGAGUAUGGGAGAGGAUGAGGGAAUUCCUGGUGUAGCGGUGAAAUGCGUAGAUAUCAGGAGGAACACCGGUGGCGAAGGCGCUCAUCUGGCCCAAUACUGACGCUGAGGCGCGAAAGCUAGGGGAGCAAACGGG
RNAcentral lists this ribosomal RNA (253 nucleotides) under uncultured bacterium. RNAcentral describes it as "partial 16S ribosomal RNA". It matches the Rfam family "Bacterial small subunit ribosomal RNA", at positions 524 to 776 of the family's 1533-position model. The record is from RNAcentral.